This 497-nucleotide ribosomal RNA is filed under the name uncultured bacterium. RNAcentral describes it as "partial 16S ribosomal RNA". It matches the Rfam family "Bacterial small subunit ribosomal RNA", at positions 28 to 507 of the family's 1533-position model. The record is from RNAcentral.
GAUGAACGCUGGCGGCGUGCCUAAUACAUGCAAGUCGAGCGAACAGACGAGGAGCUUGCUCCUCUGACGUUAGCGGCGGACGGGUGAGUAACACGUGGAUAACCUACCUAUAAGACUGGGAUAACUUCGGGAAACCGGAGCUAAUACCGGAUAAUAUAUUGAACCGCAUGGUUCAAUAGUGAAAGACGGUUUUGCUGUCACUUAUAGAUGGAUCCGCGCCGCAUUUGCUAGUUGGUAAGGUAACGGCUUACCAAGGCAACGAUGCGUAGCCGACCUGAGAGGGUGAUCGGCCACACGGGAACUGAGACACGGUCCAGACUCCUACGGGAGGCAGCAGUAGGGAAUCUUCCGCAAUGGGCGAAAGCCUGACGGAGCAACGCCGCGUGAGUGAUGAAGGUCUUCGGAUCGUAAAACUCUGUUAUUAGGGAAGAACAAAUGUGUAAGUAACUAUGCACGUCUUGACGGUACCUAAUCAGAAAGCCACGGCUAACUACGUG